GGUUAAGCGACUAAGCGUACACGGUGGAUGCCCUGGCAGUCAGAGGCGAUGAAGGACGUGCUAAUCUGCGAUAAGCGUCGGUAAGGUGAUAUGAACCGUUAUAACCGGCGAUUUCCGAAUGGGGAAACCCAGUGUGAUUCGUCACACUAUCAUUAACUGAAUCCAUAGGUUAAUGAGGCGAACCGGGGGAACUGAAACAUCUAAGUACCCCGAGGAAAAGAAAUCAACCGAGAUUCCCCCAGUAGCGGCGAGCGAACGGGGAGCAGCCCAGAGCCUGAAUCAGUGUGUGUGUUAGUGGAAGCGUCUGGAAAGGCGCGCGAUACAGGGUGACAGCCCCGUACACAAAAAUGCACAUACUGUGAGCUCGAUGAGUAGGGCGGGACACGUGGUAUCCUGUCUGAAUAUGGGGGGACCAUCCUCCAAGGCUAAAUACUCCUGACUGACCGAUAGUGAACCAGUACCGUGAGGGAAAGGCGAAAAGAACCCCGGCGAGGGGAGUGAAAAAGAACCUGAAACCGUGUACGUACAAGCAGUGGGAGCACAGAGCAAUCUGUGUGACUGCGUACCUUUUGUAUAAUGGGUCAGCGACUUAUAUUCUGUAGCAAGGUUAACCGAAUAGGGGAGCCGAAGGGAAACCGAGUCUUAACUGGGCGUUAAGUUGCAGGGUAUAGACCCGAAACCCGGUGAUCUAGCCAUGGGCAGGUUGAAGGUUGGGUAACACUAACUGGAGGACCGAACCGACUAAUGUUGAAAAAUUAGCGGAUGACUUGUGGCUGGGGGUGAAAGGCCAAUCAAACCGGGAGAUAGCUGGUUCUCCCCGAAAGCUAUUUAGGUAGCGCCUCGUGAAUUCAUCUCCGGGGGUAGAGCACUGUUUCGGCAAGGGGGUCAUCCCGACUUACCAACCCGAUGCAAACUGCGAAUACCGGAGAAUGUUAUCACGGGAGACACACGGCGGGUGCUAACGUCCGUCGUGAAGAGGGAAACAACCCAGACCGCCAGCUAAGGUCCCAAAGUCAUGGUUAAGUGGGAAACGAUGUGGGAAGGCCCAGACAGCCAGGAUGUUGGCUUAGAAGCAGCCAUCAUUUAAAGAAAGCGUAAUAGCUCACUGGUCGAGUCGGCCUGCGCGGAAGAUGUAACGGGGCUAAACCAUGCACCGAAGCUGCGGCAGCGACGCUUAUGCGUUGUUGGGUAGGGGAGCGUUCUGUAAGCCUGCGAAGGUGUGCUGUGAGGCAUGCUGGAGGUAUCAGAAGUGCGAAUGCUGACAUAAGUAACGAUAAAGCGGGUGAAAAGCCCGCUCGCCGGAAGACCAAGGGUUCCUGUCCAACGUUAAUCGGGGCAGGGUGAGUCGACCCCUAAGGCGAGGCCGAAAGGCGUAGUCGAUGGGAAACAGGUUAAUAUUCCUGUACUUGGUGUUACUGCGAAGGGGGGACGGAGAAGGCUAUGUUGGCCGGGCGACGGUUGUCCCGGUUUAAGCGUGUAGGCUGGUUUUCCAGGCAAAUCCGGAAAAUCAAGGCUGAGGCGUGAUGACGAGGCACUACGGUGCUGAAGCAACAAAUGCCCUGCUUCCAGGAAAAGCCUCUAAGCAUCAGGUAACAUCAAAUCGUACCCCAAACCGACACAGGUGGUCAGGUAGAGAAUACCAAGGCGCUUGAGAGAACUCGGGUGAAGGAACUAGGCAAAAUGGUGCCGUAACUUCGGGAGAAGGCACGCUGAUAUGUAGGUGAAGUCCCUCGCGGAUGGAGCUGAAAUCAGUCGAAGAUACCAGCUGGCUGCAACUGUUUAUUAAAAACACAGCACUGUGCAAACACGAAAGUGGACGUAUACGGUGUGACGCCUGCCCGGUGCCGGAAGGUUAAUUGAUGGGGUCAGCGCAAGCGAAGCUCUUGAUCGAAGCCCCGGUAAACGGCGGCCGUAACUAUAACGGUCCUAAGGUAGCGAAAUUCCUUGUCGGGUAAGUUCCGACCUGCACGAAUGGCGUAAUGAUGGCCAGGCUGUCUCCACCCGAGACUCAGUGAAAUUGAACUCGCUGUGAAGAUGCAGUGUACCCGCGGCAAGACGGAAAGACCCCGUGAACCUUUACUAUAGCUUGACACUGAACAUUGAGCCUUGAUGUGUAGGAUAGGUGGGAGGCUUUGAAGUGUGGACGCCAGUCUGCAUGGAGCCGACCUUGAAAUACCACCCUUUAAUGUUUGAUGUUCUAACGUUGACCCGUAAUCCGGGUUGCGGACAGUGUCUGGUGGGUAGUUUGACUGGGGCGGUCUCCUCCUAAAGAGUAACGGAGGAGCACGAAGGUUGGCUAAUCCUGGUCGGACAUCAGGAGGUUAGUGCAAUGGCAUAAGCCAGCUUGACUGCGAGCGUGACGGCGCGAGCAGGUGCGAAAGCAGGUCAUAGUGAUCCGGUGGUUCUGAAUGGAAGGGCCAUCGCUCAACGGAUAAAAGGUACUCCGGGGAUAACAGGCUGAUACCGCCCAAGAGUUCAUAUCGACGGCGGUGUUUGGCACCUCGAUGUCGGCUCAUCACAUCCUGGGGCUGAAGUAGGUCCCAAGGGUAUGGCUGUUCGCCAUUUAAAGUGGUACGCGAGCUGGGUUUAGAACGUCGUGAGACAGUUCGGUCCCUAUCUGCCGUGGGCGCUGGAGAACUGAGGGGGGCUGCUCCUAGUACGAGAGGACCGGAGUGGACGCAUCACUGGUGUUCGGGUUGUCAUGCCAAUGGCACUGCCCGGUAGCUAAAUGCGGAAGAGAUAAGUGCUGAAAGCAUCUAAGCACGAAACUUGCCCCGAGAUGAGUUCUCCCUGACUCCUUGAGAGUCCUGAAGGAACGUUGAAGACGACGACGUUGAUAGGCCGGAUGUGUAAGCGCAGCGAUGCGUUGAGCUAACCGGUACUAAUGAACCGUGAGGCUUAACCUU
This 2906-nucleotide ribosomal RNA is filed under the name Escherichia coli. Its description in RNAcentral is "23S ribosomal RNA". It matches the Rfam family "Bacterial large subunit ribosomal RNA". The record is from RNAcentral. Lineage: Bacteria; Pseudomonadati; Pseudomonadota; Gammaproteobacteria; Enterobacterales; Enterobacteriaceae.